CCUGCCCCUGACUCUGGGGAUAAGCGCUGGAAACGGCGUCUAAUACUGGAUAUGUGACGUGACCGCAUGGUCUGCGUUUGGAAAGAUUUUUCGGUUGGGGAUGGGCUCGCGGCCUAUCAGCUUGUUGGUGAGGUAAUGGCUCACCAAGGCGUCGACGGGUAGCCGGCCUGAGAGGGUGACCGGCCACACUGGGACUGAGACACGGCCCAGACUCCUACGGGAGGCAGCAGUGGGGAAUAUUGCACAAUGGGCGGAAGCCUGAUGCAGCAACGCCGCGUGAGGGAUGACGGCCUUCGGGUUGUAAACCUCUUUUAGCAGGGAAGAAGCGAAAGUGACGGUACCUGCAGAAAAAGCGCCGGCUAACUACGUGCCAGCAGCCGCGGUAAUACGUAGGGCGCAAGCGUUAUCCGGAAUUAUUGGGCGUAAAGAGCUCGUAGGCGGUUUGUCGCGUCUGCUGUGAAAUCCCGAGGCUCAACCUCGGGCCUGCAGUGGGUACGGGCAGACUAGAGUGCGGUAGGGGAGAUUGGAAUUCCUGGUGUAGCGGUGGAAUGCGCAGAUAUCAGGAGGAACACCGAUGGCGAAGGCAGAUCUCUGGGCCGUAACUGACGCUGAGGAGCGAAAGGGUGGGGAGCAAACAGGCUUAGAUACCCUGGUAGUCCACCCCGUAAACGUUGGGAACUAGUUGUGGGGUCCAUUCCACGGAUUCCGUGACGCAGCUAACGCAUUAAGUCCCGCCUGGG
RNAcentral lists this ribosomal RNA (740 nucleotides) under Microbacterium paraoxydans. Its description in RNAcentral is "bacterial SSU rRNA". It matches the Rfam family "Bacterial small subunit ribosomal RNA", at positions 125 to 877 of the family's 1533-position model. Lineage: Bacteria; Bacillati; Actinomycetota; Actinomycetes; Micrococcales; Microbacteriaceae. The record is from RNAcentral.